GGACAACCUACCCUAUGGAGGGGGAUAACCCCGGGAAACUGGGGAUAAUACCCCAUAGACUAUGGAUGCUGGAAUGCUUUGUAGUUGAAAGGUCCGCCGCCAUAGGAUGGGUCUGCGGCCGAUUAGGUUGUUGUUGGGGUAACGGCCCAACAAGCCUGUAAUCGGUACGGGUUGUGGGAGCAAGAGCCCGGAGAUGGAUUCUGAGACACGAAUCCAGGCCCUACGGGGCGCAGCAGGCGCGAAAACUUUACAAUGCGGGAAACCGUGAUAAGGGAACUCCGAGUGCCCGUAAAAUCGGGCUGUCCGUCUGUUUAAAUAACAGGUGAAGAAAGGGCCGGGCAAGACCGGUGCCAGCCGCCGCGGUAAUACCGGCGGCUCGAGUGGUGGCCACUAUUACUGGGCUUAAAGCGUUCGUAGCUGGUCUGUUAAGUCUCUGGGGAAAUCUACUGGCUUAACCAAUAGGCGUUUCAGGGAUACUGGCAGACUAUGGACCGGGAGAGGUGAGAGGUACUCCAGGGGUAGGAGUGAAAUCCUGUAAUCCUUGGGGGACCACCUGUGGCGAAGGCGUCUCACCAGAACGGCUUCCACAGUGAGGGACGAAAGCUGGGGGAGCAAACCGGAUUAGAUACCCGGGUAGUCC
This 640-nucleotide ribosomal RNA is filed under the name uncultured Methanomicrobiaceae archaeon. Its description in RNAcentral is "SSU rRNA". It matches the Rfam family "Archaeal small subunit ribosomal RNA", at positions 102 to 747 of the family's 1478-position model. The record is from RNAcentral. Lineage: Archaea; Methanobacteriati; Methanobacteriota; Methanomicrobia; Methanomicrobiales; Methanomicrobiaceae.